Molecule: ribosomal RNA, 755 nt
Filed under: uncultured archaeon
Lineage: Archaea
Description: bacterial SSU rRNA
Rfam family: Archaeal small subunit ribosomal RNA
Source: RNAcentral
GCGAGCGGAGGGCAGUUCGGCUGCCCCGCGGACGGCUCAGUAACACGUAGUCAACCUACCCUUGGGUCGGGGAUAACCCCGGGAAACUGGGGAUAAUCCCCGAUAGGUGGGGGUACUGGAAAAGUCCCUCUCCCAAAGCUCCGGCGCCCAAGGACGGGACUGCGGCCCAUCAGGUAGUUGGCGGGGUAAAGGCCCACCAAGCCGACAACGGGUACGGGCUGUGAGAGCAGGAGCCCGGAGAUGGAGACUGAGACAAGGCUCCAGGCCCUACGGGGCGCAGCAGGUGCGAAAACUUCGCAAUGCGUGCAAGCGUGACGAGGGGAUCCCAAGUGCCGAUGGUCUUUCUGAUCGUCGGCUUUUCAAGAGUUUAAAUCGCUCUUGGAAUAAGAGCUGGGCAAGACUGGUGCCAGCCGCCGCGGUAACACCAGCAGCUCAAGUGGUGGUCGCGAUUAUUGGGCCUAAAGCGUCUGUAGCCGGGCCAGUAAGUCCCCUGUGAAAUCGGACGGCUCAACCGUUCGGCGUGCAGGGGAAACUACAGGCCUCGAGGCCGGGAGACGUCGAGGGUACUCCGGGGGUAGCGGUGAAAUGCUGUAAUCCCUGGGGGACCACCAGUGGCGUAGGCGCUCGACGAGAACGGACCUGACGGUGAGGGACGAAAGCUGGGGGAGCGAACCGGAUUAGAUACCCGGGUAGUCCCAGCUGUAAAGUAUGUGGGCCAGGUGUAGGGCGCUCCACGAGGGCGCCCGGUGCCGUAG